UAUGAGGCACGAGUAGCUUUCUCAGCAUCAGACAGGGGUGAAGGCGUUAUUUCUUGAGAUGCUACUUUGAGAAUGUAACCCUCCCAAGGUCUAAUGAGAGGGAAACUUGUCUUACGGCACCAAUUGAAAAACAACUAAUCAACGACAUAGAAGACUCACAGUAUAAUGAGAAAAAUGGAAAUAUACACAAAUACAGUGCUUAACAUUUGACAUAGUGGUGUGGAGGUAGGAGACUGACAACAGCUAAGCAAAGUGCUAACUAAGCAUUGUGAAAAUGUUGUAAGGUUGUUGCAUGAGGUAUAAAUGAGUUUUUGUGUCUGUAUGCCUAAGGAUCAUUACAAUCUAAUGCUCUGAUACUGUAUGCCAUUUUGAAUGGAUUGACCAGUAGUUUUUAAAACAUGGCUUAAUUUUACCUAAAUUCAUUUUUAAGACAUGGCUGCAUGUGGACUUUGCUAAGAUAAGUUGACUCUUUUUCAGAGAAUAGUACAGGAGUUUUGGCAAAUCAUGAGCUAUAUUAAAUAUUAUACAAUCUUCUUUACUCCUAUAUGGUAAAGCGAUCAUAUAAAAUGAUCUGUUGUAUUCCCAUAUGAUGCGUAAAGCUAAUUGGUAGUAUCAUUCAUGCACACCAAUCAAAUUUCACGAAUGCAUAGUAACAUAAUACUAACAGGUGAUAAAGGACUCAUUUAAAUUGGUUGCUUGCCCAUAGAAUUAGGUCUUCCAUUCACAAAAUGAAAGUGACUGUUAAUGUAUGAUUUCUAAUAAAAUGUUCAUUAAUU
Molecule: long non-coding RNA, 776 nt
Organism: Anguilla anguilla (European eel)
Lineage: Eukaryota; Metazoa; Chordata; Actinopteri; Anguilliformes; Anguillidae
Exons: 3
Source: RefSeq, a predicted model, not a curated record